This 538-nucleotide ribosomal RNA is filed under the name Penicillium sp. RNAcentral describes it as "partial 18S ribosomal RNA". The stretch from base 208 to 360 matches the Rfam family "5.8S ribosomal RNA". Lineage: Eukaryota; Fungi; Ascomycota; Eurotiomycetes; Eurotiales; Aspergillaceae. The record is from RNAcentral.
CUUCCGUUAGGGUGACCUGCGGAAGGAUCAUUACUGAGUGCGGGCCCUCUGGGUCCAACCUCCCACCCGUGUAUACCGUACCUUGUUGCUUCGGCGGGCCCGCCAGUCCGGCCGCCGGGGGGCACCCGCCCCCGGGCCCGCGCCCGCCGAAGCACCCUGAACGCUGUCUGAAGAUUGCAGUCUGAGCGAUAAGCACAAAUUAGUUAAAACUUUCAACAACGGAUCUCUUGGUUCCGGCAUCGAUGAAGAACGCAGCGAAAUGCGAUAAGUAAUGUGAAUUGCAGAAUUCAGUGAAUCAUCGAGUCUUUGAACGCACAUUGCGCCCCUGGUAUUCCGGGGGGCAUGCCUGUCCGAGCGUCAUUGCUGCCCUCAAGCCCGGCUUGGUCUUGGGUGCCGUCCCCCCCCCGGGGGGACGCGCCCGAAAGGCAGCGGCGGCACCGCGUCCGGUCCUCGAGCGUAUGGGGCUUUGUCACCCGCUCCGCAGGCCCGGCCGGCGCCAGCCGACCCCCCAAUCUUUCUUUAGGUUGACCUCGGAUCA